Molecule: unclassified non-coding RNA, 493 nt
Filed under: Pseudoxanthomonas arseniciresistens
Lineage: Bacteria; Pseudomonadati; Pseudomonadota; Gammaproteobacteria; Lysobacterales; Lysobacteraceae
Description: partial 16S-23S ribosomal RNA intergenic spacer
Rfam family: tRNA (bases 88-160)
Source: RNAcentral
GUAGCUUAACCUUCGGGAGGGCGCUUGCCACGGUGUGGCCGAUGACUGGGGUGAUCGGCACAGGCCGGUAUGCGAAAGUCCCAUCAUGGCGCCUUAGCUCAGCUGGGAGAGCACCUGCUUUGCAAGCAGCCGGUCGUCGGUUCGAUCCCGACAGGCUCCACCAUUUGAGUGAAACGACUUUGGGUCUGUGAGCUCAUGGUUAGAGCGCACCCCUGAUAAAGGGUGAGGUGAACGGUGGUUCGAGUCCUCCCAGACCCACCACUCUGAAUGUAGUGCACACUUAAGAACUUAUAUGGAUCAGCCGUUGAGGCAGAGACAUGUUCUUUUAUAACUUGUGACGUAGCGAGCGUUUGAGAUAUCUAUCUAAACGUGUCGUUAGAGGCUAAGGCGGGGACUUUCAAGAUUCCGUAAAUAAUUGAGUCGUAUGUUCGCGUUGGUGGCUUGGUACCCCACAACACGGACUGUAUGACCCUGUAGGCAACUUGGGGUUAUA